RNAcentral lists this non-coding RNA (222 nucleotides) under Streptomyces violaceusniger. Lineage: Bacteria; Bacillati; Actinomycetota; Actinomycetes; Kitasatosporales; Streptomycetaceae. The record is from RNAcentral.
AGGCUGGCCGGUGUAGUUGGUUCGCCCCGUCCGCCAGGCGGGAUGCGUCGUAAGAGGGAACCCGGUGGGAAUCCGGGACUGCCCCGCAGCGGUGAGCGGGAACGACCGCCGUCAUACGCACUGGGUCCGGUGAGCGGGCCUGGGAAGCGACGGCCACUAGGUGUCCUCCCCCAGGAGGACGCGCCCGUGAGUCCGAAGACCUGCCAUCUGCCCGCGUACGGA